This 109-nucleotide Y RNA is filed under the name Prolemur simus (greater bamboo lemur). RNAcentral's name for it is "Y RNA (ENSPSMG00000020389.1)". It matches the Rfam family "Y RNA". Rfam says of the family: Y RNAs are components of the Ro ribonucleoprotein particle (Ro RNP), in association with Ro60 and La proteins. The Y RNAs and Ro60 and La proteins are well conserved, but the function of the Ro RNP is not known. The record is from Rfam by way of RNAcentral. Lineage: Eukaryota; Metazoa; Chordata; Mammalia; Primates; Lemuridae.
GGCUGGUCUGAAGGCUGUGAGUUAUCUCAAAUGAUUGCUCACAGUGAAUUACAGAUGGAAACCCUCGUUCUACUCUUUCCUUCUCACUACUGCACUUGACUGGUCUUCA